AAUUCAUUAACCUUGAGUCUAAGAAAGUUAAUAAUAAGAGCUAAGCAACAAAGAAAACAGUUACCAAUGGUUACUAUGGAUCACCAUAGAGGUGAAAAAAGAGAUUGUUAAAAGCACGAAGAUGGUAUGCAUAUCUGGGACUUGGCUGCUGUAUUAUGAUAUGCCGAGAACGGUAUCUACGAUUUUGAAAAACAAAGUCGUUAUUAAAUCGGCUAACAUGGUGAAGGGGAUGGAACGGAUUAAUCAUUUUCCCUUCAUUUCUUAUGGUACACGUCCUGCUUGGUAUAAUCCAAGAUUCUGGAACGGAUUAAGGACGUAUGCCAAGGUACCACUGUAAUUUCAAUUCAUUGAUAAUUCGAUCUCCUUCAAAUAUUCUAUUAUUUGUUGCAACGCCGUCAAAAUAAGCU
Molecule: long non-coding RNA, 407 nt
Filed under: Androctonus crassicauda
Lineage: Eukaryota; Metazoa; Arthropoda; Arachnida; Scorpiones; Buthidae
Source: RNAcentral